AAUCAACGCUGGCGGCGCGCUUAACACAUGCAAGUCGCACGAGAAAGGGAGCAAUCCUGAGUAAAGUGGCGUACGGGUGAGGAACACGUGGGAAUCUACCUCUUGGCGGGGAAUAACCCUGGGAAACCGGGGCUAAUACCGCAUAAGCUCGUGAGAGGAAAGCAGCAAUGCACCGAGAGAGGAGCCCGCGGCCGAUUAGCUAGUUGGUGGGGUAAUGGCUCACCAAGGCGAAGAUCGGUAGCCGGCCUGAGAGGGCACACGGCCACACUGGCACUGAAACACGGGCCAGACUCCUACGGGAGGCAGCAGUGGGGAAUCUUGCACAAUGGGGGAAACCCUGAUGCAGCGACGCCGCGUGAGCGAUGAAGCCCUUCGGGGUGUAAAGCUCUUUCGACAGGAACGAUAAUGACGGUACCUGGAGAAGAAGCUGCGGCUAACUACGUG
Molecule: ribosomal RNA, 444 nt
Filed under: uncultured bacterium
Lineage: Bacteria
Description: partial 16S ribosomal RNA
Rfam family: Bacterial small subunit ribosomal RNA
Source: RNAcentral